CUCACCUCGCAGCAUGACCAUGCUGAAUGCCCUCUUUGUGACUGAUUACAGUUAGUUAUCUGCUAUCAUGUAUGAAAUAUGUGGUGAUUUCAGGAUGCAAUUUUCAUUCUGGAUAUGUAGGAUUUGCAGUCUUCAGUCUGUUGGAAAGUGUCAGGAAGAAGAAAUCAGUCAUCUCAUGUCUGAAUUGUUUAAAAAGGAUGCUGCUGUUCCUGGAUGCUAUGCUAUCCAUCCAUGUCAUGAAGAUGGUCAUUAGAACAGUUCCUAUGGAAAAAGGGUCUCUCAUGCUCAUUGUUUGAGUUUCACACAAGAAACCAGUAAAUCACCAUUCUGGCAGCGGUGUUUACAGGAAGCAAGGAAGCACAGCCAGUCCCUUUUGCUGCAGAUAUGUUCUUUCCUCAGAGCUAUGUCACUUCUUCCUUGGACACAUGGAGAGCUCAUUUGCAUGUUUCAGACACGUGUGGAUACCCUCGUGUUCAAUUGCGUUUGCAGGGCCGAAGCAUUAUUCACUUUUCAAGGUAGGCUUUCUGUUUUCUUAUUUAGGAUUCAUGUUUUACAAGAAAGGAAAAAUAAUUUAAUACAUAUCAGCAUCACAAUGGAUAUCUUGCUUAAGGUUGGGAAUAGUAUAUCAAGUGAUUGUUACUGCACUAUUUUAUAAGCAGAAACAAACCCAAUGUAAAAAAAAAACAAACCUGACUUAAGUUUUGAAACAAUUUCUUUCAGUAUCUUGUAAAAAGAGAAAUAGUGAAGCCACCAAUAAACUCUUGUACUGCUUCAAAUAUAAAUCAAAAUGCAUUAAAAUCAAAAAAGUGACAACAUUUUGGUAUAGCAAUGGUCUACACUGAUGAAUCCUAACAAGUAAAUGACAAAAAUUUAUCAAUGAGUCAAAACACUGCAAUGCAAGACCAAUAGAAACAAGGCAUUAGCAACAAUAAAGUGUGAUUAACAGAUGCAGAAUUAUUAUCUUCCAAUCAAAUACCCACCAGCUAAAUAAUUAUUCACUUUGUGCAAUAUCCUUUGACACUUUCCAGAAGUAGGAUAGAUUAUUUCUCUUUUUUAGCAAGGAGUCUGGUCACUGAUUUUCAUUGUAUUCUUUUUUUUUCUUUUAAUAAUAAAAAUGGAUAGCUGAUUGCCAAUUCCAGUUUUCAGUCUGUGGUACAAAUAAUCCUGAUCUUAAAUGAACAAUUGGCAAAAAUGCUGACACUGCCCAAGACAGUGAGAGAAAUGCUGCUGGUAUCAGCAAGUCAGGUUCUCACACACCACUUUGCAAAGGAUGGAAUGGUGCCGAAUGCACCAUGGUUUUAGAAAGAGGAUUUGGUAGGUUCAACUUUCUUAUGAAACUGUGUAUUUGAAACUUCCUGUGUAAGGCAUUAUGAGUAUAUAAUUCAUUCUCUGGUUUCCAGAAUAGUCAUUCAGGUUUUUUUUUUAUACAGCAAAUAAACACUGGCUAACAGCUGUACUUCCUCCUAAGCUGUACAGCUCAGGUUAUCAAAGAUAUAUGACUUGGAUUAAAACUACGGUAUCAAAUAUUCAGAAAUCAGCAGGA
This is a long non-coding RNA of Passer domesticus (house sparrow), 1543 nucleotides long. RefSeq lists it as uncharacterized. The transcript has 3 exons. NCBI's taxonomy places the organism in Eukaryota, Metazoa, Chordata, Aves, Passeriformes, Passeridae. The record is from RefSeq and is a predicted model, not a curated record.